Molecule: transfer RNA, 74 nt
Filed under: ANME-2 cluster archaeon
Lineage: Archaea; Methanobacteriati; Methanobacteriota; Methanomicrobia; Methanosarcinales
Description: tRNA-Ile
Rfam family: tRNA
About the family: Transfer RNA (tRNA) molecules are approximately 80 nucleotides in length. Their secondary structure includes four short double-helical elements and three loops (D, anti-codon, and T loops).
Source: RNAcentral
GGGCCUGUAGCUCAGAUGGUUAGAGCGCGCGCCUGAUAAGCGGGAGGUCAGUAGUUCAACUCUACUCAGGCCCA